Molecule: long non-coding RNA, 1524 nt
Organism: Sinocyclocheilus grahami
Lineage: Eukaryota; Metazoa; Chordata; Actinopteri; Cypriniformes; Cyprinidae
Exons: 2
Source: RefSeq, a predicted model, not a curated record
UGAACAGGGGUAAUUAUUUAUUGGUGUUUUAUUGGGGGGGAACACAUUUCCCAGCAUCCCUAUAGGCAGGAACAGUAGACAUUACCAAGUGAUGUUUGGUAGUGGUGCACUCAUGAGAUUCAUAGUUCAUAACAGUCACAAACAGGGAGCUGUUCAUAAUCCACAUGUGGAAAAGGGAUAAAAUUAUGAAUACAAUACCCGCAAUAACAUUUAGCAGAGCGCCGUCACCGCAAAAGCGACGACGGGCUACCAAUGCCCAUGAAAGAGUAUGUGCACACAGUUACAUAGAAAAAUAGCACUGUCAAAAGUUUUUAAGCUCUUUAAGGUUUCAACCGUCACUUGCUUUAAGCUUCUUUUAAACAAACUGUACGUCUUUGACAUGGCAUCAAAAAGUAGCAAGUCAAAGGUGGUAGAAGAAGUUGUUCUGUCAAGAGAAAGGAACAGUCAGUCUACUAUUUGUUUGUUUCAGGUUAUAUCAAAUUCAUACACACAAGGACUAGAUUACGGCCCCCCCCCAUUGCACUUGAGGCCUUGUCUCGGUGGAUGGUUCCAACAGUGAAUGGGCUCGACUGAGUAAUUCAAGAUGGUCUUGCAGUUACAAGGGAGGCAAGAGAGCAAUACAUUUCCUUUCGAAAAAGUAUGUUGAAAUGCUGAAAAGAAACGUGAGGAUUAUAAUCAUAACAACAGCAAUGAUAAUGCAAGCAAUCGUAAUAAUAGAGCAACAAGGUUCAAAAGGAAAAGACAUUUAAUUCCUAUCUGAAAAGGAAUAAAGUUAUAUAUCCAGCACGGGUUUUUUUUUUUCCUUUUUUUAACAGAAUCUUCUUCCAAAAAGAGUUGAUAGUGCACUAUUCAUUUCCGUGGAAUUAUACAGCCACCAUUAGCUGGCUUCAAAAAAUUGGACAACAAUCAAGCAAAAAAAGCCACAGUAUCGCUGAUCAGCGUGGCGUGUUUUUUUAUAGUCAUCCUAGACACCUGAGAAAACGGAUAAGAAAUCAGAUCUGUCUUUUUUUUAUCGGAAAGAUACUACAUUUAUAUAUUCAAGUUAUGCAAAUUACAUCUAUAAUCACAUAUUCAAGCAUAUACUCAUGUACACACAUAUAUCUAGUGAGAGAAUAGUUUAAUAUUUAAUAUAUAAUAUAAUAUUGUACUUUGUAUGGUACAGUAGAAUUAGGGUGCAUGUUUUUUGGGGGGGAUGUGGGGUUAAUUUCGAGGAAAUGUAUAGAUAUACUCGUGUAGGUCUAUGUAUAUAUAUAUAUAUAUAUAUAUAUAUAUAUGUAUGUAUACGAUCCCUCAUACAAUGAUCAAUAAUCAUAAGAAAUCAUAAGAGCAAAGGUUAUAGGCAAACAGGUUAUAACUGUUGGGUUAUGUGCGUCUGGGUCAAGAGACUGGGUGAGCGCCAUAUAAAAUGAUGGUCGUAAACACGAAGAGUGUUUUUUCCUGCGGCGGAAAAAUACGCAAGCAUGCGCCAGCAUGCAACCCACUCGCUGCCGACUCGACCUGGGUGAGAAAUGCCAAACCAGCACC